RNAcentral lists this ribosomal RNA (1258 nucleotides) under uncultured Acinetobacter sp. RNAcentral describes it as "bacterial SSU rRNA". It matches the Rfam family "Bacterial small subunit ribosomal RNA", at positions 75 to 1328 of the family's 1533-position model. Lineage: Bacteria; Pseudomonadati; Pseudomonadota; Gammaproteobacteria; Moraxellales; Moraxellaceae. The record is from RNAcentral.
GUAGCUUGCUACCUGACCUAGCGGCGGACGGGUGAGUAAUGCUUAGGAAUCUGCCUAUUAGUGGGGGACAACAUUCCGAAAGGAAUGCUAAUACCGCAUACGCCCUACGGGGGAAAGCAGGGGAUCUUCGGACCUUGCGCUAAUAGAUGAGCCUAAGUCAGAUUAGCUAGUUGGUGGGGUAAAGGCCUACCAAGGCGACGAUCUGUAGCGGGUCUGAGAGGAUGAUCCGCCACACUGGGACUGAGACACGGCCCAGACUCCUACGGGAGGCAGCAGUGGGGAAUAUUGGACAAUGGGCGAAAGCCUGAUCCAGCCAUGCCGCGUGUGUGAAGAAGGCCUUUUGGUUGUAAAGCACUUUAAGCGAGGAGGAGGCUACUGAGAUUAAUACUCUUGGAUAGUGGACGUUACUCGCAGAAUAAGCACCGGCUAACUCUGUGCCAGCAGCCGCGGUAAUACAGAGGGUGCGAGCGUUAAUCGGAUUUACUGGGCGUAAAGCGUGCGUAGGCGGCUUUUUAAGUCGGAUGUGAAAUCCNUGAGCUUAACUUAGGAAUUGCAUUCGAUACUGGGAAGCUAGAGUAUGGGAGAGGAUGGUAGAAUUCCAGGUGUAGCGGUGAAAUGCGUAGAGAUCUGGAGGAAUACCGAUGGCGAAGGCAGCCAUCUGGCCUAAUACUGACGCUGAGGUACGAAAGCAUGGGGAGCAAACAGGAUUAGAUACCCUGGUAGUCCAUGCCGUAAACGAUGUCUACUAGCCGUUGGGGCCUUUGAGGCUUUAGUGGCGCAGCUAACGCGAUAAGUAGACCGCCUGGGGAGUACGGUCGCAAGACUAAAACUCAAAUGAAUUGACGGGGGCCCGCACAAGCGGUGGAGCAUGUGGUUUAAUUCGAUGCAACGCGAAGAACCUUACCUGGUCUUGACAUAGUAAGAACUUUCCAGAGAUGGAUUGGUGCCUUCGGGAACUUACAUACAGGUGCUGCAUGGCUGUCGUCAGCUCGUGCCGUGAGAUGUUGGGUUAAGUCCCGCAACGAGCGCAACCCUUUUCCUUAUUUGCCAGCGGGUUAAGCCGGGAACUUUAAGGAUACUGCCAGUGACAAACUGGAGGAAGGCGGGGACGACGUCAAGUCAUCAUGGCCCUUACGACCAGGGCUACACACGUGCUACAAUGGUCGGUACAAAGGGUUGCUACCUAGCGAUAGGAUGCUAAUCUCAAAAAGCCGAUCGUAGUCCGGAUUGGAGUCUGCAACUCGACUCCAUGAAGUCG